Molecule: transfer RNA, 72 nt
Filed under: Nocardioidaceae bacterium Broad-1
Lineage: Bacteria; Bacillati; Actinomycetota; Actinomycetes; Propionibacteriales; Nocardioidaceae
Description: tRNA-Lys
Rfam family: tRNA
About the family: Transfer RNA (tRNA) molecules are approximately 80 nucleotides in length. Their secondary structure includes four short double-helical elements and three loops (D, anti-codon, and T loops). Further hydrogen bonds mediate the characteristic L-shaped molecular structure. tRNAs have two regions of fundamental functional importance: the anti-codon, which is responsible for specific mRNA codon recognition, and the 3' end, to which the tRNAs corresponding amino acid is attached (by aminoacyl-tRNA synthetases). tRNAs cope with the degeneracy of the genetic code in two manners: having more than one tRNA (with a specific anti-codon) for a particular amino acid; and 'wobble' base-pairing, i.e. permitting non-standard base-pairing at the 3rd anti-codon position.
Source: RNAcentral
GGGCCGUUAGCUCAGUGGUAGAGCAGUGGACUUUUAAUCCAUGGGUCGUCGGUUCGAGACCGACACGGCCUA